UGAGAUUUCAUGAAGCAGCCAAUUUGAA
RNAcentral lists this non-coding RNA (28 nucleotides) under Mus musculus (house mouse). The record is from RNAcentral. Lineage: Eukaryota; Metazoa; Chordata; Mammalia; Rodentia; Muridae.